GUGCAGCAGGCGAGAAUCCUGCACAAUGUGGGAAACCACGAUGCGGGAACUCCAAGUGCCUACACUAUGUGUAGGCUGUUCUCGAGCCUAAAAAGCUCGAGAAGUAAGGGCCGGGUAAGACGGGUGCCAGCCGCCGCGGUAAUACCCGCGGCCCGAGUGGUGCUCAUUAUUAUUGAGCCUAAAGCGUCCGUAGCUGGCCGGGCAAAUCUCCGGGGAAAUCGGGCCGCUCAACGGUCCGAAGGCCGGAGACACUGCUCGGCUUGGGAUCGGGAGAGGGUGAAGGUACUCCCUGGGUAGGGGUAAAAUCCUGUAAUCCGGGGGGGACCACCAGUGGCGAAGGCGUUCACCUAGAACGAAUCCGACAGUGAGGGACGAAGCCCUAGGGCGCAAACGGGAUUAGAUACCCCCGUAGUCC
This 415-nucleotide ribosomal RNA is filed under the name uncultured bacterium. RNAcentral's name for it is "bacterial SSU rRNA". It matches the Rfam family "Archaeal small subunit ribosomal RNA", at positions 330 to 747 of the family's 1478-position model. The record is from RNAcentral.